CUAACACAUGCAAGUCGAACGGUAACAGGAAGCAGCUUGCUGCUUUGCUGACGAGUGGCGGACGGGUGAGUAAUGUCUGGGAAACUGCCUGAUGGAGGGGGAUAACUACUGGAAACGGUAGCUAAUACCGCAUAACGUCGCAAGACCAAAGAGGGGGACCUUCGGGCCUCUUGCCAUCGGAUGUGCCCAGAUGGGAUUAGCUAGUAGGUGGGGUAACGGCUCACCUAGGCGACGAUCCCUAGCUGGUCUGAGAGGAUGACCAGCCACACUGGAACUGAGACACGGUCCAGACUCCUACGGGAGGCAGCAGUGGGGAAUAUUGCACAAUGGGCGCAAGCCUGAUGCAGCCAUGCCGCGUGUAUGAAGAAGGCCUUCGGGUUGUAAAGUACUUUCAGCGGGGAGGAAGGGAGUAAAGUUAAUACCUUUGCUCAUUGACGUUACCCGCAGAAGAAGCACCGGCUAACUCCGUGCCAGCAGCCGCGGUAAUACGGAGGGUGCAAGCGUUAAUCGGAAUUACUGGGCGUAAAGCGCACGCAGGCGGUUUGUUAAGUCAGAUGUGAAAUCCCCGGGCUCAACCUGGGAACUGCAUCUGAUACUGGCAAGCUUGAGUCUCGUAGAGGGGGGUAGAAUUCCAGGUGUAGCGGUGAAAUGCGUAGAGAUCUGGAGGAAUACCGGUGGCGAAGGCGGCCCCCUGGACGAAGACUGACGCUCAGGUGCGAAAAGCGUGGGGAGCAAACAGGAUUAGAU
Molecule: ribosomal RNA, 747 nt
Filed under: Escherichia coli
Lineage: Bacteria; Pseudomonadati; Pseudomonadota; Gammaproteobacteria; Enterobacterales; Enterobacteriaceae
Description: bacterial SSU rRNA
Rfam family: Bacterial small subunit ribosomal RNA
Source: RNAcentral